GGUAUGCUUACACAUGCAAGUCGAACGGAGUGCUUCGGCAAAUCUGCCUUCAGGUCUGGGACAACAGGGGGAAACCCUUGCUAAUACCGGAUGUGCCUUAGGGUGAAAGAUUAAUUGCCUGAAGAUGAGCUCGCGUCUGAUUAGCUAGUUGGUGGGGUAAGAGCCCACCAAGGCGACGAUCAGUAGCUGGUCUGAGAGGAUGGCCAGUCACACUGGGACUGAGACACGGCCCAGACUCNUACGGGAGGCAGCAGUGGGGAAUUUUCCGCAAUGGGCGAAAGCCUGACGGAGCAAUACCGCGUGAGGGAGGGAGGCUCUUGGGUCGUAAACCUCUUUUCUCAGGGAAGAACACAAUGACGGUACCUGAGGAAUCAGCAUCGGCUAACUCCGUGCCAGCAGCCGCGGUAAUACGGAGGAUGCAAGCGUUAUCCGGAAUCAUUGGGCGUAAAGCGUCCGCAGGUGGCUUUUCAAGUCUGCUGUCAAAGCCCGGGGCUCAACCCUGGAGAGGCAGUGGAAACUGAGGAGCUGGAGUGCGGUAGGGGCAGAGGGAAUUCCCGGUGUAGCGGUGAAAUGCGUAGAUAUCGGGAAGGACACCAGUGGCGAAGGCGCUCUGCUGGACCGUAACUGACACUCAUGGACGAAAGCUAGGGGAGCGAAUGGGAUUAGAUACCCCAGUAGUCCUAGCCGUAAACGAUGGACACUAG
Molecule: ribosomal RNA, 704 nt
Filed under: uncultured cyanobacterium
Lineage: Bacteria; Bacillati; Cyanobacteriota
Description: bacterial SSU rRNA
Rfam family: Bacterial small subunit ribosomal RNA
Source: RNAcentral